This 373-nucleotide ribosomal RNA is filed under the name uncultured organism. RNAcentral's name for it is "partial 16S ribosomal RNA". It matches the Rfam family "Bacterial small subunit ribosomal RNA", at positions 527 to 896 of the family's 1533-position model. The record is from RNAcentral.
GUAGGUGGCAAGCGUUGUCCGGAAUUAUUGGGCGUAAAGCGCGCGCAGGUGGUUCUUUAAGUCUGAUGUGAAAGCCCCCGGCUCAUCCGGGGAGGGUCAUUGGAAACUGGGGAACUUGAGUGCAGGAGAGGAAAGUGGAAUUCCACGUGUAGCGGUGAAAUGCGUAGAUAUGUGGAGGAACACCAGUGGCGAAGGCGACUUUCUGGCCUGUAACUGACACUGAGGCGCGAAAGCGUGGGGAGCAAACAGGGAUUAGAUACCCUGGUAGUCCACGCCGUAAACGAUGAGUGCUAAGUGUUGGGGGGGUUUCCGCCCCCUCAGUGCUGCAGCUAACGCAUUAAGCACUCCGCCUGGGAGUACGGUCGCAAGACUG